ACACCUAAAUGCAUGGAGGAAGUUAGCUAUUAACGACAACCAGCCACUAUUCUUAAACAUCCACGAUCUAACACGGAAGAAGGUAGACCGUUCAUUGGAAACUUAGUGGUUCCUCCAUCCUCAUGCAUCCACGAUCUGACAUGGGCUUUUAAUGGCGAUCAUUCCUAUCCUCAAAUUUCUCUCUUUGGCUCUCCUUUUUCACCCUCUUUUUCUUUUCUCUCCAUGGAUCUUUCUCCGAACAAAUCGUUCCAUCUGAUAAUUGCAGAUCUUGAUCCAUCCCAUUGAGACCAUAGAUUGAAGACAGAAGAUGGAGGAUUCCUCUCUAGGAGCCGGACUAAUUGCCGUAUGCGCUGUCUCCGGAGGCAUGGUUCUUUUUUCGCUCCAACUCCACAAAUGUCUCCUCUCCGAAUUCAUGAAGGAGAUUGAAUUCCACUUCCUUGGAACCAAGACACACAAAGCAAAAAGGAGAUCAACCCAGCACCAGAACAACGCGACAAACCCAUCCCGGAACAACAACAGAGCUCCCACGACAAGAAUCCCGAAGCCAGACAAAGGGCAUCAAGUUAAGAACUCUAACCAAUGUGCAAUGGAGGAUCGCGACCUCGAAUUGGAAGUGAUGCCAGUUAACAGACAAAUGUUGUACAGGGGGAUUUUGCAGAACAAACAUCUUAGAGGGCAUUUUGUACCUAGGCAUUCCUAGUAUAAAAUGAUUCAAUGUGAUGUGCGAUUGCCAUACGGGUGUUCACCAGAAAGCUGUCACGAAUGCCAAACCCUCGACAGCAUGGUGUUGAUCUCCCAGGACAGCUUUAAUCCACAAUUUUCGAACUACUCAACGGUCUUAAUAUCGAUAUCCAGGCAUUUGCACCAGCAAAAAUGUGGAUCUGAGCGCUAAUCUAGGUGACUGAAACUCAUUCACUCUUCUUUAUUUUAGACUUCUCCCCUCGCAACUGUCAAUGAACAGAAGUCUGUCGUUGCACCUUGCAGUGAUUGUAUGAAUUUAUCUUUGACUUGGGUUAUAGCUUAACGGGAAUUGUUUUUAUAUUCAA
Syzygium oleosum is the source of this 1046-nucleotide long non-coding RNA. RefSeq lists it as uncharacterized. Lineage: Eukaryota; Viridiplantae; Streptophyta; Magnoliopsida; Myrtales; Myrtaceae. The transcript has 2 exons. The record is from RefSeq and is a predicted model, not a curated record.